GGAAGGCUCAUAAACAGAUAUUCAAGUUUGUUUCGAUUAUCUCGAGGGAUAAAAAAGCUUGCAAUAAUAAUAUGCAACAUUACGAUCAAUUUUAAGAGCAUUUUUCUUAAAGAGUUACAAGAACCAAAUUUCCAAGUUGAUUGUUUUCCUCGCAAAAAACUUCACCAACUCUACUUCAUGCUCCUCAAACUUGUACCCUAAUAUCUUGUUAAACUUAAUCUUGUAUGGAUCAGGAACAAACAUGUCAAGUUCGUUCUUAUAAUGAAGCUCUUAGUGAGAUGUGUGAAGGAAAUUGAAGCCAUUCAGCUGUAGUAAU
This 316-nucleotide long non-coding RNA is filed under the name Carica papaya (papaya). RNAcentral's name for it is "long non-coding RNA (CPAP_LNC001192)". The record is from RNAcentral. Lineage: Eukaryota; Viridiplantae; Streptophyta; Magnoliopsida; Brassicales; Caricaceae.